Oryza rufipogon (brownbeard rice) is the source of this 197-nucleotide microRNA precursor. It matches the Rfam family "MIR812 microRNA precursor family". The record is from Rfam. NCBI's taxonomy places the organism in Eukaryota, Viridiplantae, Streptophyta, Magnoliopsida, Poales, Poaceae.
UAUAAGGGAUUUUGAGUUUUUGCUUGCACUGUUUGACCACUCAUCUUAUUCAAAAAAAUUUUGGAAUUAUUUUUUUUGUGACUUACUUUAUUAUCCAAAGUACUUUAAGCAUAACUUUUUGUUUUUUGUAUUUGCACAAAAUUUUUGAAUAAGACGAGUGGUCAAACAGUGCAAGCAAAAACUCAAAAUCCCUUAUA